RNAcentral lists this transfer RNA (85 nucleotides) under Spirochaetota bacterium. RNAcentral's name for it is "tRNA-Ser". It matches the Rfam family "tRNA". From Rfam's summary of the family: Transfer RNA (tRNA) molecules are approximately 80 nucleotides in length. The record is from RNAcentral. Lineage: Bacteria; Pseudomonadati; Spirochaetota.
GGAAAGGUGACCGAGUGGCCGAAGGUGCUUGCUUGGAAAGCAAGUGUAGGGCAACCUACCGGGGGUUCGAAUCCCCCCCUUUCCG